Molecule: unclassified non-coding RNA, 89 nt
Filed under: Pseudomonas prosekii
Lineage: Bacteria; Pseudomonadati; Pseudomonadota; Gammaproteobacteria; Pseudomonadales; Pseudomonadaceae
Source: RNAcentral
UGUGGGAGCGAGCUUGCUCGCGAUAGCGGUGUGUCAGAAACAUCGAUGUCGGCUGACACACUGCUAUCGCGAGCAAGCUCGCUCCCACA